Ribosomal RNA from Bifidobacterium magnum, 1535 nucleotides. It matches the Rfam family "Bacterial small subunit ribosomal RNA". Lineage: Bacteria; Bacillati; Actinomycetota; Actinomycetes; Bifidobacteriales; Bifidobacteriaceae. The record is from Rfam.
UUUGUGGAGGGUUCGAUUCUGGCUCAGGAUGAACGCUGGCGGCGUGCUUAACACAUGCAAGUCGAACGGGAUCCGGCCAAGCUUGCUUGGCCGGUGAGAGUGGCGAACGGGUGAGUAAUGCGUGACCGACCUGCCCCGUGCUUGGGAAUAGCUCCUGGAAACGGGUGGUAAUGCCCAAUGCUCCGCCCGGCCUCAUGGCCGGUCGGGAAAGCUUUGGCGGCACGGGAUGGGGUCGCGUCCUAUCAGCUUGUUGGUAAGGUAACGGCUUACCAAGGCUUCGACGGGUAGCCGGCCUGAGAGGGCGACCGGCCACAUUGGGACUGAGAUACGGCCCAGACUCCUACGGGAGGCAGCAGUGGGGAAUAUUGCACAAUGGGCGCAAGCCUGAUGCAGCGACGCCGCGUGCGGGAUGGAGGCCUUCGGGUUGUAAACCGCUUUUGUUCACGAGCAAGGCAUUCUUUUUGGGUGUUGAGUGUAGUGUUCGAAUAAGCACCGGCUAACUACGUGCCAGCAGCCGCGGUAAUACGUAGGGUGCAAGCGUUAUCCGGAUUUAUUGGGCGUAAAGGGCUCGUAGGCGGUUCGUCGCGUCUGGUGUGAAAGUCCGCCGCUUAACGGCGGAUUUGCGCUGGAUACGGGCGGGCUUGAGUGUGGUAGGGGAGAACGGAAUUCCCGGUGUAACGGUGGAAUGUGUAGAUAUCGGGAAGAACACCGAUGGCGAAGGCAGUUCUCUGGGCCAUUACUGACGCUGAGGAGCGAAAGCGUGGGGAGCGAACAGGAUUAGAUACCCUGGUAGUCCACGCCGUAAACGGUGGAUGCUGGAUGUGGGGCCCUUUUUCCGGGUUCCGUGUCGGAGCUAACGCGUUAAGCAUCCCGCCUGGGGAGUACGGCCGCAAGGCUAAAACUCAAAGAAAUUGACGGGGGCCCGCACAAGCGGCGGAGCAUGCGGAUUAAUUCGAUGCAACGCGAAGAACCUUACCUGGGCUUGACAUGUUCCGGAUCGCCCCAGAGAUGGGGCUUCCCUUCGGGGCCGGUUCACAGGUGGUGCAUGGUCGUCGUCAGCUCGUGUCGUGAGAUGUUGGGUUAAGUCCCGCAACGAGCGCAACCCUCGCCGCGUGUUGCCAGCACAUUAUGGUGGGAACUCACGUGGGACCGCCGGGGUUAACUCGGAGGAAGGUGGGGAUGACGUCAGAUCAUCAUGCCCCUUACGUCCAGGGCUUCACGCAUGCUACAAUGGCCGGUACAACGGGAUGCGACACCGCGAGGUGGGGCGGAUCCCUGAAAACCGGUCUCAGUUCGGAUCGCAGUCUGCAACUCGACUGCGUGAAGGUGGAGUCGCUAGUAAUCGCGGAUCAGCAACGCCGCGGUGAAUGCGUUCCCGGGCCUUGUACACACCGCCCGUCAAGUCAUGAAGUGGGCAGCACCCGAAGCCGGUGGCCUAUCCUUUGUGGGGGGAGCCGUCUAAGGUGAGGCUCGUGAUUGGGACUAAGUCGUAACAAGGUAGCCGUACCGGAAGGUGCGGCUGGAUCACCUCCUUU